RNAcentral lists this ribosomal RNA (327 nucleotides) under Triticum aestivum (bread wheat). Its description in RNAcentral is "partial small subunit ribosomal RNA". The record is from RNAcentral. Lineage: Eukaryota; Viridiplantae; Streptophyta; Magnoliopsida; Poales; Poaceae.
AUGGGAUACUCCCCCGCGGAGUCUUUGGCCAUUGCCAACAGACUUAAUUGCCACCUGGGCUCUUUCCCCACAACCUACCUGUGCAAGCCCAUUAGUGACUCCCGGGUCACCGUCGCGGACUUGCGGCCCUCCACGGCCAAGCUCCAAACGCGCGUCGAGCCCUGGCAGGGGAGGUGGUUGUCUAAGGCAGCCUGGACCAUCCUCAUCAACUCUUCGCUCUCCAGUCUCCUCUUGUUUCUCAUGAGCUUCUACAGUCUCCACGAGACCCUGCACCAUGAGAUCGCCAAGGUCCAGUCCCUCUUCUACUGGGCGGGCGACAAUGACAAG